UUUGUAGUAUUUGUGGUUUGAGGCAUAGUGACAUUGCCUUCUCUCUCACCCUACUCUAAUAAGGCUUUAAUAUCUGGAGCUCAUAGGUGGGAGAUAAAAUAUACAUACUUACAAGACAUUUAUUGCAUAGUCAAACCAUGGAUCCAAAGAAACAAAUCAAUAAGCCAAAUCAAGAUGUGCAUGUGUGGCGAAUGAAUGGUGUAUGGUGAUGAUGGUGAUAACAAUGGUGAAAACAAUGGUGGUGGAAGUCUAAUUCUACUUUGCUCUUUGAGAGGAUACAUACAUUCCUUGCUUUUGAAACUUUAUGAGGAGAAUGAGAUGCUCUUCUUUUUCUUGUCUCUCAGGUGGGUAUCUUGUAUCCCUAAUUCUACUGUCGGACACUUGUCCAUUUUUUACCUCUCAUCUCACUUUUUCUUUUCUUCCGAGGUUCCGAGCACUUGCUCUUUUUUAUUUCCUCGUAUCUCUUUUUUUUAGAGCAUUCAUCUCUUGAGAUAAUAUAGCAAGUGGUAGUAACAAGAUAACUUGAGCAUUUAUUUCACAAGGGAAAAACAGAAAUAUUUUUGGUUAUUCUCUCCCGGAUUAGGAGUAGAAUAUUUUUGCGUGAUUCUGGAGAUGGAAAUGGAUGGAUAUAUGUGGAUGGUACUUCCGGAGUAGAAGUAGCAUAUAUGAGUGAACGUGCAAGUGAAAUCUUGAUUUAACCACAUGACAAGCUCCUAAGGGUCAACACAGCUUGACCACACUCAAUGCUCAUAAGCAGUAAAUAAUAAAUGUGUGGCUCAAAGUCUAGCAAGCAUGUAUAUAUGGCUUUGGUAGGAAUUUAAACUCUCAUCAUACAGGAACUCAUCAUGCAACAUUUUAAAGAUUUUCAAAGAUAAAAUUCUCCAGAAUUCUAGCAUCUCUAGGAACAGAUAAACAGCAGCUCAACCUUCCCAUAUCGUAUCCGUUAACAACUUAGACUUCAGAUCAAAUUUUCAUCCCACAAGUUU
This 986-nucleotide long non-coding RNA is filed under the name Sorghum bicolor (sorghum). Its description in RNAcentral is "long non-coding RNA (SBIC_LNC004587)". The record is from RNAcentral. Lineage: Eukaryota; Viridiplantae; Streptophyta; Magnoliopsida; Poales; Poaceae.